RNAcentral lists this ribosomal RNA (492 nucleotides) under uncultured bacterium. RNAcentral describes it as "partial 16S ribosomal RNA". It matches the Rfam family "Bacterial small subunit ribosomal RNA", at positions 29 to 507 of the family's 1533-position model. The record is from RNAcentral.
AGUGAACGCUGGCGGUAGGCCUAACACAUGCAAGUCGAACGGCAGCACAGUAAGAGCUUGCUCUUACGGGUGGCGAGUGGCGGACGGGUGAGGAAUACAUCGGAAUCUACUUUUUCGUGGGGGAUAACGUAGGGAAACUUACGCUAAUACCGCAUACGACCUACGGGUGAAAGCAGGGGAUCUUCGGACCUUGCGCGAUUGAAUGAGCCGAUGUCGGAUUAGCUAGUUGGCGGGGUAAAGGCCCACCAAGGCGACGAUCCGUAGCUGGUCUGAGAGGAUGUUCAGCCACACUGGAACUGAGACACGGCCCAGACUCCUACGGGAGGCAGCAGUGGGGAAUAUUGGACAAUGGGCGCAAGCCUGAUCCAGCCAUACCGCGUGGGUGAAGAAGGCCUUCGGGUUGUAAAGCCCUUUUGUUGGGAAAGAAAAGCAGCAGGUUAAUACCCCGCUGUUCUGACGGUACCCAAAGAAUAAGCACCGGCUAACUUCGUG